RNAcentral lists this ribosomal RNA (481 nucleotides) under uncultured bacterium. RNAcentral describes it as "bacterial SSU rRNA". It matches the Rfam family "Bacterial small subunit ribosomal RNA", at positions 19 to 518 of the family's 1533-position model. The record is from RNAcentral.
CUGGCUCAGGACGAACGCUGGCGGCGUGCCUAACACAUGCAAGUCGAGCGAGGAGAUCCUUCGGGAUGAUCCUAGCGGCGGACGGGUGAGUAACACGUGGGCAACCUGCCUCAUAGAGAGGAAUAGCCUUCCGAAAGGGAGAUUAAUACCUCAUAACAUUGCAGUUUCGCAUGGAACAGCAAUUAAAGGAGCAAUCCGCUAUGAGAUGGGCCCGCGGCGCAUUAGCUAGUUGGUGAGGUAACGGCUCACCAAGGCGACGAUGCGUAGCCGACCUGAGAGGGUGAUCGGCCACAUUGGGACUGAGACACGGCCCAGACUCCUACGGGAGGCAGCAGUGGGGAAUAUUGCACAAUGGGGGAAACCCUGAUGCAGCAACGCCGCGUGAGUGAUGACGGCCUUCGGGUUGUAAAGCUCUGUCUUCAGGGACGAUAAUGACGGUACCUGAGGAGGAAGCCACGGCUAACUACGUGCCAGCAGCAGC